GGGCCUAUAGCUCAGUUGGUUAGAGCGCACGCCUGAUAAGCGUGAGGUCAGUGGUUCAACUCCACUUAGGCCCACCA
Molecule: transfer RNA, 77 nt
Filed under: Acidobacteria bacterium 21-70-11
Lineage: Bacteria; Pseudomonadati; Acidobacteriota
Also listed under: 8 other names
Description: tRNA-Ile
Rfam family: tRNA
About the family: Transfer RNA (tRNA) molecules are approximately 80 nucleotides in length. Their secondary structure includes four short double-helical elements and three loops (D, anti-codon, and T loops).
Source: RNAcentral